RNAcentral lists this ribosomal RNA (450 nucleotides) under uncultured bacterium. Its description in RNAcentral is "partial 16S ribosomal RNA". It matches the Rfam family "Bacterial small subunit ribosomal RNA", at positions 354 to 796 of the family's 1533-position model. The record is from RNAcentral.
GUGGGGAAUAUUGGACAAUGGGCGAAAGCCUGAUCCAGCCAUGCCGCGUGUGUGAAGAAGGUCUUCGGAUUGUAAAGCACUUUAAGUUGGGAGGAAGGGCAGUAAGCUAAUACCUUGCUGUUUUGACGUUACCGACAGAAUAAGCACCGGCUAACUUCGUGCCAGCAGCCGCGGUAAUACGAAGGGUGCAAGCGUUAAUCGGAAUUACUGGGCGUAAAGCGCGCGUAGGUGGUUUUGUAAGUUGAAGGUGAAAUCCCCGGGCUCAACCUGGGAACUGCCUCCAAAACUGCAUGACUAGAGUACGGUAGAGGGUAGUGGAAUUUCCUGUGUAGCGGUGAAAUGCGUAGAUAUAGGAAGGAACACCAGUGGCGAAGGCGACUACCUGGACUGAUACUGACACUGAGGUGCGAAAGCGUGGGGAGCAAACAGGAUUAGAAACCCGUGUAGUCC